AAAUAAAAACAUCGGCAUUUUCUUCCCCAAUCUUAGCGUCAGCUGGACUUCAAUGUCCAUCUCCUCUCUCUCUCUCCUCUUUCUGACAUCGAUUAACCUUUCAUCCUGAUUUUCUGUUUAAUUAGGAUGAUGGGAAUUGAAUCAAGUAACGCACAAUUUCAGUUUCCAACCAUGUUUUUUCGCCUUCGGUCUUCAAGCGUUUUCAUGCCGUCGCUCCAUCGGUUAUUAUCAAUCGCUUCGCUACCGACCCAUUUUCCAGCUGCCGCGAUCCACACCAGAGGCGUGGCGGCAAGAUCAUCCGGCUAGCUUCUCAUUGGUCGCUCUGGUUUUUAACCAAGAUUAGACGAUGACUCUUCACAGAAGUUUCUCCUGGAACAAUUUUGCGCCACUAGCAUUUUUGUUUGGUAGAUUCGUUUGCAGAUUGGAGUGUGAUACUUGCUCAUCGCAUUAAUGGAAAACUAAACGACCGAAAUGAUAAUGGAGGGGUCCUUAAGUGAAGGUGGAGGAGGGUUUCUUUCUAUUGGUAUAUUAAUACACAAUGUUUCUUAUCUUUGUUUUAUGAAACACUUCGAGGCUUAGUUGAUUAGAGUUGGGAAUCUCACCCCGUAUCUGAUAACAAUAGAGGUAUAGUUUUCUAAGAAUCUGAAUUCCUUUAUAGUUUUAUCUGUUGGUUUCAACCCUAUGGGUUGCAGUUGAGUUCUUCGUGUAGGCCUAGUCAUACUGAGAUUUUUUAUCCAUCAAAGGAAUCCACUGAAGUGUUGUUCAGAAGAUGAUCUCCUCGAUGCCAAAGUCUAAGUUAGAAGACUGCUAAAGACAACUACAUGAUGCUUAAAAUUUUGAGCUUUAACAGGCAGCUGGUUAGGAGCUGUUUUCCUUGCCAGUUUUCUAUUUCUAAGGACAAAAACUAAUGAACGCAUAUUUGGUCCACUAGUUUCUAAAGCUGUAUUCUCUUCUCCUGUUCCUUUAGUCUGUGAACCUCUCACAGAUGGCUUCGUUUUCUACAAGAAUUGAAGCUCUUCUUCCCACAUGAAGCAUGAGCAUGUGCAAGUAGUUGCAAACAGGCAAAUCGUCUCCAUAAUAGUUCAUAGUAGUUUCGAAAGCAAUGACAUAAAUUGUUCUGAAAAUGAUCUCUUCAAUAUGUUCAAAAUUCUGUCCGCCAAAACCUGAUCCUGAUAUAGUUGUUACUCACUUGAAUUUCCAUUUUAGCUGCAUUUAACAGUAACAAGCACAACACUUGAAUUUCCAUUUUAGCUGCAUUUAACAGUAACAAGCACAACACUUGAAUUUCCAUUUUAGCUGCAUUUAACAGUAACAAGCACAACAAUUCCAGUUUAUUGAUAUUGCGUGAAUAUGUAUUUAUGUCAAAGGGAUAAGUUGCUAUUCUCCCAUUCAGAUUCGAUUUAGGGGAGGGAGGAUGCCGUUGAUCAAUUAGCAGCUGAUUGACAUAAGAUAAGAGAUGGCAUGAUCUGAAUCCUCAAUAUGCUGGCAGUUUAUACGUGCAACUUGAUGGUGAAAGAGGACUGGGAAGAAUUCAGAGCAAUGUAGCUGGGAGAUGAAGUUAAGCCAUGAUGCAAUUAUAAGCUACAGAAUGCUAAAUUUUCACAACGUUGUUUACUAUCCCUUCUAGAGCCACAGAUAUUUAUAAGAAAAGGCAAUCCCUCCCCCUCCCCCUCCCUGGCAGAGAACCAUAAAAGAAGCAGAAAAAACAAAAGAAUUUGAUCCACUACCAUAGAAUAAUUUUGGAUACAACUCAAUAAUUGUAGACAUUUCCAUUUUCAGA
Molecule: long non-coding RNA, 1780 nt
Organism: Cucumis sativus (cucumber)
Lineage: Eukaryota; Viridiplantae; Streptophyta; Magnoliopsida; Cucurbitales; Cucurbitaceae
Exons: 4
Source: RefSeq, a predicted model, not a curated record